Molecule: ribosomal RNA, 420 nt
Filed under: uncultured bacterium
Lineage: Bacteria
Description: partial 16S ribosomal RNA
Rfam family: Bacterial small subunit ribosomal RNA
Source: RNAcentral
AAAUUUGGACAAUUGGGGAAACCUUGAUCCAGCCUUCCCGCGUGUAUGAUGAGGGCCUUCGGGUUGUUAAGUUCUUAUUGUAGCGAAGAAAAAGUAUCUCCUAUUAUUACAUACUGCUGACUGUAUCUGCAGAAUAAGCACCGGUUAACUACGUGCCAGCAGCCGCGGUAAUACGUAGGGUUCAAGCGUUAAUUGGAAUUACUGGGCGUAAAGCGUGUGUAGGCAGUUAGGAAAGAAAGAUGUGAAAUCCCAGGGCUCAACCUUGGAACUGCAUUUAUAACUGCCAAGCUAGAGUAUGUCAGAGGGGGGUAAAAUUCCACGUGUAGAAGUGAAAUGCGUAGUUAUGUGGAGGAAUACCAAUGGAGAAGGCAGCCCCCAGGGAUAAUACUGACGCUCAGACAAAAAAGCGUGGGGAGCAAA